UGGUGGAGUGAUUUGUCUGCUUAAUUGCGAUAACGAACGAGACCUUAACCUGCUAAAUAGCCCGCAUUGCUUUGGCAGUGCGCUGGCUUCUUAGAGGGACUAUCGGCUCAAGCCGAUGGAAGUUUGAGGCAAUAACA
Molecule: ribosomal RNA, 137 nt
Filed under: uncultured eukaryote
Lineage: Eukaryota
Description: partial 18S ribosomal RNA
Rfam family: Eukaryotic small subunit ribosomal RNA
Source: RNAcentral